AUGUCAUUUGGUUUAACCUUUUUUCUAUCUAAUACAAUGGCAUUCAUUCAUUUUUCAGUAACUGCUCUUCACAACCCCUCAAAUCAGGAAAAAGCCAUACAACCUUCAAAUCAUGUCCUGCUAUUCAGACAUAGAAAGGCAAACCCGAGUCACACACAUACACUAAUUGUCAGAGGACCUUUAUAUUUCAUGACGCUUUCAACAGGCAGAAUGUCGGGUUUAUGCUUUUUUUUCUCCUCUGUUGGGAUGAUGAUGAUGAAGACGAGGAGAGCAUGCUGUCACACAUGGCUCCUGACGACAGAUAAGAUGAGCUGGAGGAAUCCUUCAUGUCCUGCAUGAAAUGAUGACUGACUCACGGACAACGGAAGGCAUCAUGAAUAGUGCCAAAGGGAAGAAAGAAUGGGAGAAUAGAAAACAUAAGAAUGUGUCUCUUAUGUGGGAAGAGUGAAUGGUUGAACCUGUCAAAGACACAUCCCUUUGGAAGAGCAAACCCAGGGGUACAAAAAGAAGCAUCACUCGGGACCAAGUGAUGCUGUAAAAACUACCAAAACCGAUUCGGUUCCAAGGGAAUUAUGUGAGCAAGACUGGAUAUCUGUGAAAAGACUACACUCUUAGAAGAAAAGGUUGUAUAUAGAACCUUAAAAAAUCUCAUAAAUAAUUAAAAUAGAGUUUCACCUACAUCUACAUAUUACAAAAUAAGUCCAUUAUAAAAUUACAUUAAUCUAUCACUAAUAAAUAACGCAAAUAUACAGAUUCAUCUAAAUUCCCAUCAGGGUUAGAACAACAUCAAGCACCUCAAAACUACAAAUCCAUAUUAAUAUAACUCACAAUGGAAAAUACAGAAAUAGAAGUACUUCAAAUAUACAAAUUCAUAUUAAUAUCACUCAUGAAGAAUGUGAAUACAUAGAUUUAAAAUUCAGAUCAACAUUUCAGAACAUCAAGUACUUCAAAUCUACAAAUUUACAUUAAUAUCACUCAUAAAGAAUUGUAAUUACAGAUUCAAAUUCAGAUCAGCAUUUCAGAAUAACAUCAAACGCCUCAUAUCUACACAUUUACAUUAGCACUAUUCACGAAAUAUCAAACUAUUAUGAUAAUUGAUUGUACAUUUUGAGCACUGGGACAGACAGUUUUAUUUUCUGGCUUCUGGAGACUUUAAACAGGUAUUGCUCAACAAAAUUCAUCAUGCGAGAGAUGUGCUUGGGGUAUUCCACACUGAAUAUGAAAUAAGUAACAAAGAGGCACUCAUCCAUUUCACACAAGCAUUAUUCACACAUGCAGUUUCUCACUUUCUCUCUGUUGUUAAUUCAAAUAAAAAUGUUAUUCUUCAAGCUACAUCAUUUGUAUAUCUGAUUUAAAGCAUGCAGAAUCCUAGAUCUAAAGGCCGAUUGCUAAAAAAAAAAAUGCAUCAGUGAUUCGCAAUCCCGCUCCGAACUCCCGAGCAGAAUCAAAAUGAUUCGCGAACCCCAAACUGACUCAAAUGAUUAGCGAUCCCGCUCUGAACUCCCGAACAGAAUCAAAUGAUUCGCGAACCCCAAACUGACUCAAAUGAUUCGUGAUCCCGCUCCGAACUCCUGAUCAGACUAAAAUGAUUCGCGAACCCCAAACUGACUCAAAUGAUUCGCGAUCCCGCUCCGAACUCCCGCACAGAAUCAAAUGAUUCGCGAACCCCAAACUGACUCAAAUGAUUCGUGAUCCCGCUCCGAACUCCUGAUCAGACUAAAAUGAUUCGCGAACCCCAAACUGACUCAAAUGAUUCGCGAUCCCGCUCCGAACUCCCGCACAGAAUCAAAUGAUUCGCGAACCCCAAACUGACUCAAAUGAUUCGUGAUCCCGCUCCGAACUCCUGAUCAGACUAAAAUGAUUCGCGAACCCCAAACUGACUCAAAUGAUUCGUGAUCCCGCUCCGAACUCCUGAUCAGACUAAAAUGAUUCGCGAACCCCAAACUGACUCAAAUGAUUCGCGAUCCCGCUCCGAACUCCUGAUCAGACUAAAAUGAUUCGCGAACCCCAAACUGACUCAAAUGAUUCGCGAUCCCGCUCCGAACUCCCGAACAGACUAAAAUGAUUCGCGAACCCCAAACUGACUCAAAUGAUUCACGAACCCGCUACGAACUCCCAAAUUGACUCAAAUUAUUCUAAGAAAGAAUAAGUCGCUUGUAGCUUCAGGAGGGGGUUAAGGCCAAAAUAACAAACAAAAAUGGGAUGCUAACUGAAAACAAAGUAAUCUAACUUACCUAGCAAACAUCAACAACAUGUCUCUUCCCUGACUUCCUCAUGUUACAUACGGAGUUAACACACAGUAUUAACAGCAACAAUGACUUACUUCUUAGGAUGUAACAAAAUGGGUAACUGCAUUAUUCGGUGUAUUCAAAUGCAUUUAUGAAUGCAUGUGCAUGAAUGAUCACAAAAUUCAAGAUAUGGGGGUUAGAAAAUGUAUAUAUUUAUAUCAUUUUAUGUAAUUAAUAAAUAUCACACGAAGAGUGCCAUUUGAGUUUUUCUCCAAAUAUCAGCAUGAUUAAAAAGUGAUAUUAAGUUACUACAAACAAUAAUUUAAUUACAAAGACAAAAUGUUGCAUAAUAAUGUAAUAUAUGAAUGAAUAAUAGCCUAAAGAACCUUUGUGCUCCAGUGUAUCUCACCUCGGGCCUGUCUCAUCUUAAAGAGAGCAGCUUGUUCCAACCAAAAAGUUGUGGAUCAACCACCUGUUCUACUUUAACAAGCUCAGUAACACAUUGAAAGGUCCAGCUGUGCUUAUAUUUGCCAAGCCUGCUUGUUUAGUAAAGAUUCAUUUGCAUAAAAGCAUACACUGUGCGAUUAAAUAAAGAACAUUAAGUCCCAUAUAAACAGCUUUAACAGCCUGGUUCGUUAGCAAAUAGCCAAUCGCUAGGAGUGCUGGCUCACUCAAGGGAGCUCCAGAACUCUUCUGUUCAUUAGUCACCAUGGACAGGAAUCAAAUAUGACUUUGUGUUGGAAAGCCAGAUCCUGUAGAGGCCAUGUUGUGUUGAUUUUAGUUGUUUGUUUGGAACAAAGGAGCUUACCGUGCUAAGGUUGGUUACAUUAUUAUCAAGCGCUGAAUCAUUAUAGCUUGCACUCCUCAAGAACCUUUCCUGUGGUUUCUGGCAUCAAUAUAUUAGCAGAAGAUCCUUUAAGUCCAGCAAGGUGCAAGGUGGAGUCUCCAUGGAUCGGAUAGGUCAGCACAUCUCAUAAAUGCUCAGUUGAGUUGAGAUCAGGAAGACUAUAGCAUUUGGUCCCCAUGUGCAUUAAAUGUGGCAAGACCCUGAUGCUGGUUCACAGAUUGUCCAUCCUUGCACCUCUUUUUAGGUACUUACCACUUGAAACGGGGAAAUCUCAACUAGACCGGUCGUAUAGAGAUGCUUUGACCCAGCUGCUAUAGCAUUGAUUGUGUAACCAUCACUAUUUGGCCAUUUUACUUGCCCUUUUCUCCUGCUUCCAACACAAUGAAUUAAAAAACGUACUGUUGCCUAAUCCAUCCAAACACUUGACAGCUGCCAUUGUAAUGACAGAAUCAAUCUUAUUCUCUUCAGCUGUCAGUGGUUUUAAUGUUGUUGCUGAACAGUUUAUCUUAAAGUACAGACUGCCCCAGUGUUGAGUGUUGAGAAUAGGGAGGGGGGUCUUUUAUGUCUUAUUCAAAUUAAAUAUUGGCCAAUUAAAACUCUCAUAGGUUCAGCUGUGCAAACGUAUUAGCAUGAGUUAGAGUAGUUGUUUUCUUUACUCUUUUAAUUUGCUGUUAUAUUGCAUGGGGAAAGAAAGAAAUUAAAUUAGCAUCAUAAAUAGGCUUAUUGUCAAUCCUGGUUCCUAUAAUACCAGUAGGAUACUUAUCCUCAUAAGGAUAUUAUAUCAUAUUAUACACUAUCAAAACAUUAAACUUCUGUAAACUAACACUUUUUUUUUUUAAUUCAAUGAAAGCGAAAAAAUUAGAAAAUAUAUGUAAUAUAGAUACAAUGUACAGAUGUCACAUGGGGGAAACAUUUUAAGAGAAACACUACAAACAUAUUAUAGUUUGUUUAUUAAUCGGCUACAUAAAGAAAGAUGCAAGAUGCAGUGUCUGUUUCUUAUUCAAUAAACAUCAUGUUGCAUGACGUCUAGUCAUUUAGAGCUGAAAAACACUGUGAGAUGUCCUCUUCACCUUACAAGAAGAAAAAACAAGCUCCAUGAUGAGCUUGAAUGAUGGCAAGGUUUGCUGCAGUGUUACUAACAGAAAACGUGCUGAACAAGAGAUCUGCAAUUGCUGUCGCAAGAGUUUUCAGGCUUAAGGAGACAUUCAGCAUUUAGUGAACACACAAAUCAAAGCUGACAACAUAAUUACAAUAGUUGAGCGAACUCAAAAAUCUCAAAUUGCAUGUUUGUCUAGAGAGUAGUUGCAGUUCUCAGAACAACUAACAUUGUUAUGUUAACCCGCUUCUCAGACACUAUAGUUAUAUACAGAAGUUUUUUAAAAAUGUUUUACCAUUAGAAAAGACGUUGUUGUUGUGCACUGUGAAGGUUAGCGCUGGAAUUGCUGCUUCAGAAGGUGAAAUGAGCAGGACCUUGAGUGACCGGUGCAGUAAUUGUUAGGAAGUGAAGUGGAUACCCACAUGAGUAUUAGUGAUGUGAAAGCAAUGGGUUUAGUUAAUAGGGGAGCAUCAGCAGUGUACAGCCAUUGUUCAUGCUAAGAUGAGGAUCUUGACAUUUUACUGAGGCUAUUGUGCUCGUUUCAAUAAGAUUUCCAGCACUGCAAUCACAGGCUUUGAUGUAACACAAUGAAACUGUAGUGAAUUCGGCUUUCUGAGAGUAUUCCUGAGCACAGACGGAUCAUGCAUUCAAUGUGCAAGUGGAUUCUGUAAAGGUGUGUGCCUCAGUAAUUUAGAAAAUUAAGCUUGUUUAUUUAGCAUGAUCUUACAGGCUUGUUCAUAUAUGCAUUGUUUACAUUUACAUUUUGUAUGUUUAUAAACAUAUAUGAAUGUAUCGACAGCCUUUGAAAGGAUUUAUUUAUACACAGCAUAAGAUACGUAAAAACAGUUAUGAUUAUUCUACGAAUGCAGUUUUGUUAGUUUACUAUUACUUAUAAUAAAGUAUUACUCAUUUUUCAGCUGC
RNAcentral lists this long non-coding RNA (5092 nucleotides) under Carassius auratus (goldfish). RNAcentral describes it as "lncRNA (ENSCARG00000009305.1)". Lineage: Eukaryota; Metazoa; Chordata; Actinopteri; Cypriniformes; Cyprinidae. The record is from RNAcentral.